GAUGAACGCUGGCGGCGUGCCUAAUACAUGCAAGUCGUACGGAAAGGCCCUUCGGGGUACUCGAGUGGCGGACGGCUGAGUAACGCGUGGGAACGUGCCCCAAAGUGAGGGAUAACGCACCGAAGGGUGUGCUAACACCGCAUAUGGUCUUCGGAUUAAAGCUUCGGCGCUUUGGGAGCGGCCCGCGUACGAUUAGAUAGUUGGUGAGGUAAUGGCUCACCAAGUCGACGAUCGUUAGCUGGUCUGAGAGGAUGAUCAGCCAGACUGGGACUGAGACACGGCCCAGACUCCUACGGGAGGCAGCAGUAAGGAAUCUUCCACAAUGGGGGCAACCCUGAUGGAGCAACGCCGCGUGCAGGAUGAAGGUUUUCGGAUCGUAAACUGCUUUUAUAAGUGAAGAAUAUGACGGUAACUUAUGAAUAAGGAUCGGCUAACUACGUGCCAGCCGCCGCGGUAA
RNAcentral lists this ribosomal RNA (457 nucleotides) under uncultured bacterium. RNAcentral's name for it is "partial 16S ribosomal RNA". It matches the Rfam family "Bacterial small subunit ribosomal RNA", at positions 28 to 523 of the family's 1533-position model. The record is from RNAcentral.